This 278-nucleotide ribosomal RNA is filed under the name uncultured bacterium. RNAcentral's name for it is "partial 16S ribosomal RNA". It matches the Rfam family "Bacterial small subunit ribosomal RNA", at positions 356 to 626 of the family's 1533-position model. The record is from RNAcentral.
AGGGAAUCUUCCACAAUGGACGCAAGUCUGAUGGAGCAACGCCGCGUGAGUGAAGAAGGCUUUCGGGUCGUAAAACUCUGUUAUUGAAGAAGAACGUGUGUGACAGUAACUGGUCAUGCAGUGACGGUAUUCAAUCAGAAAGUCACGGCUAACUACGUGCCAGCAGCCGCGGUAAUACGUAGGUGGCAAGCGUUGUCCGGAUUUAUUGGGCGUAAAGCGAGUGCAGGCGGUCUUUUAAGUCUGAUGUGAAAGCCUUCGGCUUAACCGAAGAAGGGCAU